This is a long non-coding RNA of Drosophila teissieri, 1691 nucleotides long. RefSeq lists it as uncharacterized. Lineage: Eukaryota; Metazoa; Arthropoda; Insecta; Diptera; Drosophilidae. The transcript is spliced from 3 exons. The record is from RefSeq and is a predicted model, not a curated record.
UUUUGAGAAAAAAUGUAUGAAAAGGAUUAAGUAUAAACGAAUUUAUUUUAAAAUGAAGAGUACCUAUCCAAGUACUUCGUGUUUUAUUUUGGAUCAAAAGACAUAUUUAUCAAUAAUAUCAAAAUUUUAGCUUACAACCAUAAAAUCGUUUUCCUUCGGCUUAACUUGGUAGCCGGUCGAGUUGCUCAGGCAUGCGAAUCGUACACAAGUCUGGCGCCCAGAUCGCAAAUGUAUAUCAACCGCUGUCAGUUAGCAUUUCCUCCGAACAGAUCGGGUGAAUAUGUACACGAAGUCCAAACUGCUUCCGUGAAAUUGUUCAAGUUGCCAUUCAAGAUUAAUGGGAGAAUUUUCGGAGUUCGUGUAAAACAAUUAUGAUUACAACACACUUAACUAAACCAACUGGAGGGUUAAAUUCCACAGAAAAGUGCAUAUAUCGAGGAACAAUCUGAUUUUCAUAUAAGUUCAAGAUAUCCUAGUAAUGGUAACUUUUGUCAGAAUAUACAAAACGUGUUAACUCAUUAAGCUCCCCCCUCUCGUUGGGAAAUUUGAGAUGUUUUUGAAGCCGGGCAAAUUGGUAGCUUGAUGACAAAUGGGGUGCCAAAAACGUGUUUUAUGUUCAUAACCAAGAUACGCACAGUUAUUUAAAGCAGUCAGGCACAAGAUUCCGACAGGCUCACCAAAAAGGAGGAGGAAGAACGGAGCAGUCCUCGAAAGCGAUGGCAAUCUGCAUAUAGAACGUAACCAAAGGACAAACCUUUUAACCGACCAGCGGGCGGAAUUCGUGUGGGGAAGGGAUCGGUGUUCAAGAAGGGGUAAAGGGGUCUCGAGCCGAGAGUAAUUUACGCUUGCAUGCAAAUUGAAAAACAGUCGAGAGCAGGCACUGGACAUGGGAUUCUGGGGAGGGAUAAGUUCCGGAACGGACCAAACAGAACUGAUUGAGCGCCGGGAUGAUGCAUUUUAAAACAAAUUGGCACAGUUUGUGAAAGGUGGCUGGUCGGUGUUGGUCUGGGUCUGUUGUGUCGGUGGUGUUGUGUUGUUCGUGGCGUGUUUGUCACUCAAUUAGAUGCAACUCAUUUAGACGCUCUUGCAUUUGGCCGCCAUUUCUGUGCACAAAAUGUUAAUCAAAGCCUGAUGGGAUUUUUUAGGCCAACUAAUGAUGCCAUGCUGUGAUGAGGAUGGAGCAGGGAAUGGUCCAUGGGUGGGUUCCGCGCUGUGCACAGACAUAUUGAUGACAGUCGCUCAAUUAAUAUGCAAAAUUUAUGCAUGGGAAAGUUCAAAACAAACAGAAAUACGCACCAGCAACAUAGAGCUGAAAAAGUAUGAGGGGCAAGAAAAAAGGGAGUUGGCUUGCACGAUAAAAAAUCAAUACAAAUUAGCCGACUCAUUUGGCUGUUUUUUUCUACCCAUCGAAUUGAGUUGUUGACACUGGUGCGUAUGUGCCCAUAAUCCGAUGUAAGCCCUUCAAAGGAACCCUAAGCAGAUAUCGUGACACCUAAUAAAUGUGCCAGCGAGGUUUUUACCGUAGAAACACCUGUAAUUGGGGGUGUUUUAAUUUAAUUAUGAAACUUGCAACGCAAAUUUCUGAAACACAAAGUAAGAGCUCGGCAGUCGGCAAUUAAUAAAGCAAUUACGGAGAUCAUGCAACAUUCAACAUGCUAUUAUCGCUUAAGAUUACUUUCUAAUCAUAGAAA